GCCGCUGUAGCUCAGUUGGUAGAGCAGCGCAUUCGUAAUGCGAAGGUCGACAGUUCGAUUCCGUCCAGCGGCACCA
RNAcentral lists this transfer RNA (76 nucleotides) under Zoogloea sp. RNAcentral's name for it is "tRNA-Thr". It matches the Rfam family "tRNA". From Rfam's summary of the family: Transfer RNA (tRNA) molecules are approximately 80 nucleotides in length. Their secondary structure includes four short double-helical elements and three loops (D, anti-codon, and T loops). Further hydrogen bonds mediate the characteristic L-shaped molecular structure. tRNAs have two regions of fundamental functional importance: the anti-codon, which is responsible for specific mRNA codon recognition, and the 3' end, to which the tRNAs corresponding amino acid is attached (by aminoacyl-tRNA synthetases). tRNAs cope with the degeneracy of the genetic code in two manners: having more than one tRNA (with a specific anti-codon) for a particular amino acid; and 'wobble' base-pairing, i.e. permitting non-standard base-pairing at the 3rd anti-codon position. RNAcentral also lists the same sequence under 2 other names. Lineage: Bacteria; Pseudomonadati; Pseudomonadota; Betaproteobacteria; Rhodocyclales; Zoogloeaceae. The record is from RNAcentral.